RNAcentral lists this ribosomal RNA (313 nucleotides) under uncultured Actinomycetes bacterium. Its description in RNAcentral is "bacterial SSU rRNA". It matches the Rfam family "Bacterial small subunit ribosomal RNA", at positions 28 to 351 of the family's 1533-position model. Lineage: Bacteria; Bacillati; Actinomycetota; Actinomycetes. The record is from RNAcentral.
GAUGAACGCUGGCGGCGUGCCUAAUACAUGCAAGUCGAACGCACCAUUUCGGUGGUGAGUGGCGAACGGGUGAGUAACACGUAGGUAACCUGCCCUUGACACUGGGAUAACACCUGGAAACAGGUGCUAAUACCGGAUAUGAACUUCCUCGGCAUCGAGGAGGUUGUAAAGCUCCGGCGGUCAAGGAUGGACUCGCGGCCUAUCAGCUUGUUGGUGAGGUAACGGCUCACCAAGGCUUCGACGGGUAGCCGGCCUGAGAGGGCGACCGGCCACAUUGGGACUGAGAUACGGCCCAAACUCCUACGGGAGGCUG